This 343-nucleotide unclassified non-coding RNA is filed under the name soil metagenome. RNAcentral describes it as "partial contains 5.8S ribosomal RNA, internal transcribed spacer 2, and large subunit ribosomal RNA". The stretch from base 1 to 120 matches the Rfam family "5.8S ribosomal RNA", at positions 35 to 154 of the family's 154-position model. The record is from RNAcentral.
GAUGAAGAACGUAGCGAAACGCGAUACGUAAUGUGAAUUGCAGAAUUCAGUGAAUCAUCGAAUCUUUGAACGCACAUUGCGCCCGCCAGCAUUCUGGCGGGCAUGCCUGUUCGAGCGUCAUUUCAACCCUCGACCUCCCCUUGGGGAGGUCGGCGUUGGGGACCGGCAGCACACCGCCGGCCCUGAAAUGGAGUGGCGGCCCGUCUGCGGCGACCUCUGCGUAGUAAUACAGCUCGCACCGGAACCCCGACGCGGCCACGCCGUAAAACACCCAACUUCUGAACGUUGACCUCGAAUCAGGUAGGACUACCCGCUGAACUUAAGCAUAUCAAUAAGCGGAGGA